This 65-nucleotide transfer RNA is filed under the name Schyzocotyle nayarensis. RNAcentral's name for it is "tRNA-Asn". Lineage: Eukaryota; Metazoa; Platyhelminthes; Cestoda; Bothriocephalidea; Bothriocephalidae. The record is from RNAcentral.
GUCUAUGUAGAUUAUUUUAAAUCAUGAUGCUGUUAACUUCAAGAAGGAAUUAUUUUCCGUAGUCG